Molecule: ribosomal RNA, 519 nt
Filed under: uncultured bacterium
Lineage: Bacteria
Description: bacterial SSU rRNA
Rfam family: Archaeal small subunit ribosomal RNA
Source: RNAcentral
AACCUCCGCAAUGUGAGAAAUCGCGACGGGGGGAUCCCAAGUGCCAUUCUUAACGGGAUGGCUUUUCUUAAGUGUAAAAAGCUUUUGGAAUAAGAGCUGGGCAAGACCGGUGCCAGCCGCCGCGGUAACACCGGCAGCUCUAGUGGUAGCUGUUUUUAUUGGGCCUAAAGCGUUCGUAGCCGGUUUGAUAAGUCACUGGUGAAAUCCUGUAGCUUAACUGUGGGAAUUGCUGGUGAUACUGUUGAACUUGAGGUCGGGAGAGGUUAGCGGUACUCCCAGGGUAGAGGUGAAAUUCUGUAAUCCUGGGAGGACCACCUGUGGCGAAGGCGGCUAACUGGAACGAACCUGACGGUGAGGGACGAAAGCUAGGGGCGCGAACCGGAUUAGAUACCCGGGUAGUCCUAGCCGUAAACGAUGCGGACUUGGUGUUGGGAUGGCUUUGAGCCGCUCCGGUGCCGAAGGGAAGCUGUUAAGUCCGCCGCCUGGGAGUACGGUGCAAGACUGAAACUUAAAGGAAUU